RNAcentral lists this ribosomal RNA (1237 nucleotides) under metagenome. Its description in RNAcentral is "bacterial LSU rRNA". It matches the Rfam family "Bacterial large subunit ribosomal RNA", at positions 1564 to 2808 of the family's 2925-position model. The record is from RNAcentral.
UGAGUACGAGACGCUAAGGCGUCGAAGUAGUGUAUGUCAUACUUCCAAGAAAAGCUUGCACUGUCAUUCAUAAAAAAUGCCUGUACCAUAACCGACACAGGUGGGUAGGUAGAGUAUACUAAGGGGCGCGAGAUAACUCUCUCUAAGGAACUCGGCAAAAUAACUCCGUAACUUCGGGAGAAGGAGUGCCUUAUUUAUAUAAGGUUGCAAUAACAAGAUCCAAGCAACUGUUUACCAAAAACACAGGUCUCCGCUAAGUCGUAAGACGAUGUAUGGGGGCUGACGCCUGCCCAGUGCUAGAAGGUUAAAGAAGUUGGUUAGCAAUAGCGAAGCUGAUAACUGAAGCCCUGGUGAACGGCGGCCGUAACGAUAACGGUCCUAAGGUAGCGAAAUUCCUUGUCGGGUAAGUUCCGACCCGCACGAAAGGCGUAAUGAUUUGGAUACUGUCUCGGAGAGGGACUCGGUGAAAUAGACUUGUCUGUGAAGAUGCGGACUACCUGCACCUGGACAGAAAGACCCUAUGAAGCUUUACUGUAACUUGAAAUUGAAAUUGGACUUUAUUCGCGCAGUAUAGGUGGGAGGCGUUGAAAAUAAUCUUGCGGGACUAUUGGAGCCAUCUGUGAGAUACCACUCUUAUAAUGUUAGAUUUCUAACUUUGAAUCAUUAUCUGGUCAAAGAACAGUUUCAGGCGGGCAGUUUGACUGGGGCGGUCGCCUCCCAAACGGUAACGGAGGCGUACAAAGGUUUCCUCUGAACGGGUAGAAAUCGUAUCUAGAGUAUAAAGGCAAAAGGAAGCUUGACUGUGAGACCUACAAGUCGAGCAGGGACGAAAGUCGGUCUUAGUGAUCUGACGGUACUGAGUGGAAAGGCCGUCACUCAACGGAUAAAAGUUACUCUAAGGAUAACAGGCUGAUCUCCCCCAAGAGUUCACAUCGACGGGGAGGUUUGGCACCUCGAUGUCGGCUCAUCGCAUCCUGGGGCGGUAGUACGUCCCAAGGGUUGGGCUGUUCGCCCAUGAAAGCGGUACGCGAGCUGGGUUCAGAACGUCGUGAGACAGUUCGGUCCAUAUCCGGUGUAGGCGUUAGAAUAUUGAGAGGAGCCUUCUUUAGUACGAGAGGACCGAGAAGGACAUACCUCUGGUGUACCAGUUAUCGUGCCAACGGUAAACGCUGGGUAGCUAUGUAUGGAGUGGAUAACCGCUGAAAGCAUCUAAGUGGGAAGCCCACCUCAAGAUGAG